Numida meleagris (helmeted guineafowl) is the source of this 1688-nucleotide long non-coding RNA. The record is from Ensembl. NCBI's taxonomy places the organism in Eukaryota, Metazoa, Chordata, Aves, Galliformes, Numididae.
AUCAGAGUUUGAAAUUAGAACUCUGAAAAUAUGUACUGCAUAUGUUUCCUUUGUGUCCUCCUGCACAGGUUCGCAAAACACAGUUUUUCCCAGAUGGCAGCUUGCUGCAGGUUUCUUAAUACCUUGAACUGCAAGAUACCCAGUGUAGGACAUCCAGGUUCAGAGAAAAAACAAGGAGGGGAGAAGUCAUCCAAAGGCAUGGGCUCCAAAUUGGUGCAGAUUGGAAAACCACUACUUGUUCACAGGGGCUGAGUCCUGUAUGAAGCCUAGCAGCACACAGUGCAGGUCUCAAAGAUGGUCCAUACAUAACCAAUAGAAUCCAAAUAUUGAAGAUACCACUUGAUCACAAAGCUUUUUCCAGAACUGCACUCCCAGAAGGAGGGGAUGCUAUGUGAAUAAGGUUGCUAUCUGAAAGUUUUACCCCUGUUUUCUUGUCACUUUUUCCCCCCUCAAGGGUUUUUGUAACUCAAAUGAUUUCAGUCCACGCCCCAAAAAGCUGCAUUCCAGAGAGGGGAAUGCAUUCUAGGUGUGAUGUAGAUGUAGAAACAAACUGCAAAGGUGCUAAAACCAAGAAUAUUUUAAGCCAGCUUUGCUGCUAAAGGGUACUUUACACUGGAACCUUUGGUCUUAAUCUCCAGAGCCUUUGUCCAGUCUGUUUUCUCUCAUUUUCCCUCUGCUAUGCUAUAAAGGUCACUCUGGCAAAAAGUUUAUCAGUAUGUGUAACAGCUGCUUUAUUUGGGAACGUUGGCAUGAAUUUCUCCCAUUUUGGUGUAUCAUAAGUUAGCCGUUUGCAUUUUCCAGCACUGAUAAGUACGGAAGUCCACAGCUGAGCUUGUCUGGUCUCUUGGACUAUGCUGUCCAUCACUGGCUCCUUCAGCUCUGCCUAGGCUUUCUAAAUCAUGACACUCAGGGAGAACUGAUGCUGUUCCUGCCAGCUGGUUUUCUUACAAAAACUGCACAACAUAAAUUAAACUAGAAAAAUGCUAUAAGUAGAGAUUCCCAGGGAGAAGACAGGGAGUAGCCCUGAGGAGGAACCCAUGCAGCCAAAUGUUUGAUUCAGUGCUUGAAUAUUUCUGCUAGAAUUGACAGUAUUUUCUCUCUUGCAGAAAAAAAGUUCAGACUUAGGCUGUCUGGCUGCUCAGUAGAAGCUGUAUAAGGUCAAGUGAAUUCUUUGUAGGAGUAGAACGGUGCUAGGGUGCUGAGGUACGGAGGGAAAUUAGGAAUGGCACUGGGAGGCCAGUGAGAGCCUCAGGCAGCUACUUUCAAUACAAGCAAGGCAUGAUUGACUGCAGGCUUAUUUUUUCAGCUUCCCAUCGAACUGUGAAAUACUUCUUUGUGUACACCUCAGCUAUCACCGGUUCUGAAAGACCUGGAGAGAAAGAGGGACUGCAGCACUCUGUGACUGCAGUAGCAUCCUCUGUUGCUUCCCAGCUGCUGCACAGAGGUGAAAAUGCUCUGCAGCACUGUCCUGCCCUGUAGGCAGGCGUCCUGAGGAGGGCUGAGUUCAGCCAGGUGCCACUGCCGGUAAAAUCCUGUGUGCAUCAGCCUCUCUUGCACUGCAAAUGGCUCAGCUUGGGGGAGAGCCUCCCAGACCCAUGGAGAGAACUCAACAGAAAGAUGUCUUCCGCAAAGGUAUGCCAAAAUGUAGGGUGUGGUCAGAUCUGAAAAUAAAAUUUUUAAAAAGUGCA